UACCAGGACGAGUGGCGGCAGGUGAAGCGGUUCGUCCCGAAGCGGUAGCGACGGCAGCUGGUGGUCCCCGUGCCGAAGAGGCUCCCGAAGGUCCGGGUGUAGGGCCUGUAGCCGGGGCACGAGCUGCUGACGCUCCGGCCGAAGCGGGGGAAGGCGCGACUGAUGGGAGGGGGCGACGAGACGAAGGAGAUGCCCCUCAGGGAGCCGCCGCGGUAGCGCGACGACGACGUGGAGUGGUUUAGUCUGUGUCCACAGCGCGCGCGCGCUCGUAGCGUGGCGGGUCCCGGGCGUCGGGCGUCCGUGACUUCGUUCUACACCUGCGGGCGUAGCAAGGCGACGUCGGCGGCAGCGACCCAGGUCCCGUCGUGGAGGAAGCACAGCGGGCAGUUUGGUGGCGGGGCCGGGGCCGCGGUGGGCGUUGUCGGGCUGCGGCACGACGGCGCGGGCUUGGGCCGCUCCGCCGGAGGUAAGAGGGUUCGCUCGUGCGGAAGGUAGAAUAGCAGAAGGCGGCGCUGCGGAGCGGGGUUCGCUCUUCCGGUCGGCGGCCCUGCGGAGCGGGGGAAGGAUCCGAGCCCGCCGCGCCUGCGGGCGGCGCUGUGGAGAGGGGAAGGAACCGAUGGCGCCGCUGCGGAGCGGGUAAGGACCCGAGCCCGCCGCGCCUGCGGCGGCCGUUCUACGCCACCACCUCCUGCCGCGCGUCCGCGGCCGCCGCUCGCCGCACGGGCCGCCACCUCAUGCCGUUACAUAUUCGGCGCCGCCUCUUGCCGUUACCUGCGUCCCCCGAAAAACGUUUUAGGUUGGCAAAAAAGUCCUGGUGUGUAAUUUAUCCUGACGCCCAACUAAAGGUCUUUUUGUCUCCAGGAAAAAUGUUUUCAAGGAACUGCUGCCUGCUGGUCUUCGCUAGCGACGAAAUAAUCAUAUAUAUAUAUAUAUAUAUAUAUAUAUAUAUAUAUAUAUAUAUAUAUAUAUAUAUCCAUUUCUACUUCUUUGUUGUUCUCUUUCUCGGUUGCUAUGACCUUCCUUAUUUCGAGUGGAACGGAUUUCUUCCUUUACUUAAUUAGUCCUAAAGGAACUUCCUUAAUUUGAGCGGAACGAUAAUCUUCCUUCGCUUAAUUAGCCUCUUCCCUUCCUAAUUUUAAACGUCGUGCCCAUGUUAUGCUGUACAACUGUGCAGCACUUGUACGUGCAUUCAUUUCGUUCGAGGAAAAAAAGAGCCAUAUAAGUUUUCUUUGAUUUAAUUGUUCCGUAAGGGAUCUUAAUAAAUAUGCGUUCGUACGUCUGUAAGCAACUUAUAUACGUAGUGCGCUCGUGGGUAUUAUAUGUUCACGAAGACAUACGUAGAAAAAACUCCACAAGUACAGAGUGUUGUUCAAAAGAAUACAUAUAUAAUACGUACGUAUACCCUAUUGAGUAUUACGUUGUAUUGUCAAUUACAGAGUAUUGUUCAAUCAAUACGUUAAACUAUCUCGAUAGGCUCUUCUAAAGUGUACUCUUUUUACAGGGUCCAAAUCUUUUUUAUUAAUUAUAUUAAUAAGUACAAAGGCCAAAAGUUAAAAACUAAUUACUUGGGCAGUAUUGCCAAUUGGGUUAUAGUGUUCGGGAAGACAGAGAGGCGAUGUAUACAGAGCAUAAUUCGCGUCUGUUAAUCAUGUGGUAGCAGUCACCUUUCGUAUACUGUAUCACCUCCAGUUCUAUUUUAUCUUUUCAACGUUUGGUUUGUUAGGUAUGUAAACAAUCGUCAAAACGUUUUUCCUUAACCGACUUUCACGUUAAGAAAAAGUACAAUCCUUCUUAACUAUGAAUAAGCCAAUCCCCUCACACUAUAAAAAAAAAAGGGCAACGUUGCGUACCCGUAUACACGAUCACUUACUUUUUUCUUUUCUUUUCUUUUCUUUUUAGCUGCGUUAAUCAACACCAUGCGACUCGACCAUCGUCGAGGCAAAAGAGAGCUCAGGAGAGUCCAGACUUCCGUAGCCGCCGCAGUAGCAGCGCAGUCAAGGCUAAGGUUAGGUGUCGGGUCGGUACAGGUGCGGCCGGUCAGAGGGCGGCGGCCGGGGGCGGCGGUGCGGGGAGUGGCUGGAGGAGCUCAGUGGGUGGAAGCGCGGGGGGCGCGGUCGCGGGGGCGGAGGGUGGGGGCGGCGGUAGGAGUGGCGCACCAGCGUGGAGGCGUCGCGGCGAGGGAGGGGACGCCAGUGGGAGAGGCGGGAGCUCUGGGAGGUGGACGUGGCGGCGAGCGAGGCGGAGUCGAGGCGCGUGGAGCUCGACGAGGACGGCGAAGAGGGCGAGGUGGGCGCGGAGCAGAGGGGCGACGAGCGGUGGACGGGCGCAGAGGAGGGGUUGAUAAGCGAGGGGAAACGGAGGGAGGGAGAGCGGGGAGCCGAGGAGGAGGACCCGUGCGAGCGGUGGCGGUUCUCGAGGUUCUUAAGGUGGUCGUUACCGUGGAGUCCCUCGGGGUCGUGCCCCUUAGAGCCCUCGCUGGUACCACCGCUGCUGGGGUAACACCGACACUCAGCGUAAGAUCUCUUAUGCCUCGUCCCGUCACUCUGGUCGCUACAAUAACUGGUGGAACGCGAACGACCAUAACCGGUACGGGACCGUACACGUCUACUCGACGUGAAACCUUCCUAGGAACACAGGGACCAAUCCUAAACGCCGUCCUAGCCCCUACAUCCACAACCACAAUCCCACGAAUUCGACCACCUAACCGACCACAGCCCCAAGCAGCUCAGCUCCUCCUACGCGUUCCAAGUCCAAGACAAGCUCCAUUAAAGCGGCCUCUUCACGCUCUCGCUCCCAAUACACGACAAAGGCCGCCACUACCGCCGAACGCCACCUGAUGCCCGUAACUCCCAACGAAGCCACUCUGUAGCGAACCUGAAACGGGGUUUUAACUUCCUGCGAGGACUCACCUGGUAAGCAAAACGUCGAUUCUCCCGUUGACAUCUUCCCUCCGUACUGCUACUAGUCGCUGCACAGGAAGAAGUCACACAACGUAAUCCAAACUGUGUCACACCCGGCCAUCGCAGAUUACUAAGUCACAAUGUCACACAAGAAUACCGUGACGACCUCCUCGAGGAAGGAGAAGGUACAGACGAAUCCUAGAGUCAAUUCUCAGGUCUACCUUUAAGUCGACUCGAACGGUUCUUAGUCCAGUUCGUUGUGGUCCUAUCACAGGAAAAGUUUCUUCGUCCCGGUCACUGACCCCAAGACACGUUAGUCAUAAGUAAACGACUACUCUUCUGAUUUCUAAUACAACUUUGAGCACAUACACUUAUACGCGUUCUCGACAUAGUAGUAGAAGCACGUCGUCACAACGACGUGGUCUGCUUUGCCUUACUAAACGAACGACUCUAACUAUUCUAACGACUCCGUCGUAAAAAAUACUAACAUUCGAAACGUCGUCUCCAACGUUUUGUGUCCAACCUACGUUUGAGGAGUCCCCCCAAUGUCGGUCUCCAACGACAAUCCUAGAACCACCUUAAGAGAACACACCUUGUAGACUCUGCAAACGCAGAAGGACUCAUGUGACUUCGUUAGGCCGCACGACAACAACAAUUAGUCCUAUUACGCCGUCGGUCACGAAAUAAGCAACUCAGUUACGGAAGUACACGACUUAACUGUUGGUUUGGUCCAAUAAAUUACGGUGAGAGGAUUAGAGGAACACGGUAAUACUAAUUUUGAAGAGUACACUAACGAAUCUACACGAACGUCGACAACUAAUUUCACCUCGAAACCAUAUAACAUCUAAAUGAUUGGAACCUACCUUGUUCUAUAUAGACAAUGCGCCUACUCCAAGUCUGCAGUGCGUAUAACAAAAUAGACGCCCAAUACGGAUGAACAUAAUCGGAAUAAGGUCGACUAGAUUAAGCCCUAUUUAAUCGAGGCCAGCAUAAGGACAUAGGAAAUAUCUGUGGUGAUGAUAAACAGAAUGAUAAAUAAAAACUAUCUUAAGGAAUAAACUAUGAGGGAGACAGGGUAUUAAAUUCUGCAAAAGACUGUGAUGUGAUCUCAGUUUUUUGCAGAAUGUAAUACCCUGCCUCCCUCAUGAUCUAUUUUUACACGAAGGGAUAAACUGGGACCUUUUUUUAAGAAGGAAUAAACCGUGAGCCAGAUUUAAAGAAAGACCCCAUUUUGACAGAAAAGUCAAGAGUGAAUUCCCGGACAAACCCUGACGAGGUGACGUGGUUUAGGUGAAACCUCGUUUAAGUGGAUCCUCAACGUCGAAGAGGUUUCUCGUCAAAUAGGACAAACCGAAGGUCGAAGUUCUUAUUCUUUUAAACCACCCUUUCCAGAUAAACCGACCCACUGCACCCCUUUAUUUUGUUUCCGCAUAGGUGAAUGACCACCAUCACGACCCAUUAAAGGGUGGUUCAGGUGUUCCUGAGAAGCUUGAUCUCAAAAACCUCGUGGGGACUUCUCGAAGUGUUUUUUAUCCUUCAACAUGGGGUCUAAGAACAAAAAAAGAGUCUCGCCCUAUAGUACCUCAAUGGGGCAAACCGAACGCAAAAAAUCUCGCCUCGUCAGGGUUUGUCCGGGAAUUAUAGCAAUCAUCGGUAUUAACUGCCGUCACCGUGUAAUCCCCCUUUUCUGUCUGGAGACGACGACGGCGGUAUGUCCAAUCCCCAGUCCUAACUCCCUCCCGCUCAAGAAAAAAUGACGUAUGAAAAAAAAAACUGAGAUCCCUCUCGCUCAAUCCAGCAACAAGCCCCGUCAAACCAAGGACGAUAGGAAAAAAAGGUCGCAAUAUGUAGUCCCCAUUUCGGCAACAAAGUCGAGAGUGAAUUGUGGUAACCAUCCGACCAUCGGUUUUACCGCCUUCACUUUUUUAUCAGGCUCGCAGUUUAUCCCUUAUUUGAAAAAAACGUCCCGGUUUAUCCCUCCGUGUAAAAAUAGAUCACAGUUUAUUCCUUAAGAGAGAAACAAAAAGAGUAACCCAAUAGAACUAAAACUAUAUGUUUUAACGGCGGGAAUUACGUUAAACAAUCUAUGUAUGUUGUAAGCUUACUUUUUUAUUGUGCACGACAUGUGAGCCACUACCAUAGUAAGGACAGUAGACCGUUACUAUGACUAGUCCUACUAGCUCACCGAAACUUUCUCGUUCAGCGGAAACUAAUAUAAUCCUCUAGGAACCUCCGAAUAGGACCCCAUUGAGGUAAACUACCUAAUCGUAGUCCUCAACAACGUGAACAAGCCGUGGAAGGACGUUUCUCGGGACGGUAAGACAAAACAUAGGUAUCGGAACGACACUUCCGAUUUCUAGAAACGUCAUGACGUUACCAAGUCCUGUCUAGUAAUACCUCCAGUACCCUUCUUUCGUGUCUCGGGACGUUCUUUCAUAACCUGAACAACGAUGCCGAGUAGAAGGAACAACUAUAAGUCAGUAAGAGAAUAGACGAGUUCCUCGACCGCCUUAAACAGUGGAGCGACGGUUUCCUUCCGGUCCUACACGAGGAGCUACUGUACGUGCGGGUACAGCGCCUUAGACUGCUACAACAUGCCUUCGGACACGAGCACAGCACCAACGUCAGGGAUAGUAUGUAUUCGAGUGUUCGACUACAAGCACUUAGAGCAUUAUUGCGCUUUUUACGAGCAAGACGCCCACCCCAACUCGACUCGGACUUGUCUUGAUAACGUGCGAACACUGUGAUAGAACGAGUACGAACAGCUCGAACUAGUAUGAACAACAUGUAAUUGUCACGUAUCUUAUCUUACUCUAUCUACGUACAACGUUCAUAUCAUGACGGAAAAAGUAGAACUGUAGUACGGCCAUGCAUAAACAAAUAGACUAAGUUGUAAAACUCUGUUCACAAUGUUACUGUUAUGC
This 5824-nucleotide ribosomal RNA is filed under the name Triticum aestivum (bread wheat). Its description in RNAcentral is "partial small subunit ribosomal RNA". The record is from RNAcentral. Lineage: Eukaryota; Viridiplantae; Streptophyta; Magnoliopsida; Poales; Poaceae.